Molecule: unclassified non-coding RNA, 240 nt
Filed under: fungal sp.
Lineage: Eukaryota; Fungi
Description: partial internal transcribed spacer region
Rfam family: Eukaryotic small subunit ribosomal RNA (bases 1-46)
Source: RNAcentral
AAGUCGUAACAAGGUCUCCGUUGGUGAACCAGCGGAGGGAUCAUUACAGAGUUGCAAGACUCCCUAAACCCACUGUAAACCUACCUAUAUCGUUGCUUCGGCGGGCGGCCCCAGGGCGGGGUUCAGGCCUGUUACAGGUGCCCGCCGACGGCCGUCGUAAAACUCAGUUGUUAUUUACAGGUGCUCUGAGUCAAAUGACAAAAUCAGUCAAAACUUUCAACAACGGAUCUCUUGGUUCUG